RNAcentral lists this ribosomal RNA (451 nucleotides) under uncultured bacterium. Its description in RNAcentral is "bacterial SSU rRNA". It matches the Rfam family "Bacterial small subunit ribosomal RNA", at positions 354 to 796 of the family's 1533-position model. The record is from RNAcentral.
GUGGGGAAUAUUGGACAAUGGGGGGAACCCUGAUCCAGCCAUGCCGCGUGUGUGAAGAAGGCCUUUUGGUUGUAAAGCACUUUAAGCGAGGAGGAGGCUACCGAGAUUAAUACUCUUGGAUAGUGGACGUUACUCGCAGAAUAAGCACCGGCUAACUCUGUGCCAGCAGCCGCGGUAAUACAGAGGGUGCAAGCGUUAAUCGGAUUUACUGGGCGUAAAGCGCGCGUAGGUGGCCAAUUAAGUCAAAUGUGAAAUCCCCGAGCUUAACUUGGGAAUUGCAUUCGAUACUGGUUGGCUAGAGUAGGGGAGAGGAUGGUAGAAUUCCAGGUGUAGCGGUGAAAUGCGUAGAGAUCUGGAGGAAUACCGAUGGCGAAGGCAGCCAUCUGGCCUAAUACUGACACUGAGGUGCGAAAGCAUGGGGAGCAAACAGGAUUAGAUACCCCAGUAGUCC